Molecule: small RNA, 861 nt
Filed under: Rattus norvegicus (Norway rat)
Lineage: Eukaryota; Metazoa; Chordata; Mammalia; Rodentia; Muridae
Description: uncharacterized LOC102549556
Source: RNAcentral
GGCUGCGAGGAGCCAGGGUUGCUAGGAGACUGUGGAAUAAAAAGGGAAGCAGACACUUCCUGGAUACCCCCAUCUAGUUUUAAAAGACUCGAGUUAAAGUACAAGUGGAGGUGGUUAGGGAAGGGAAGGAGGGGGAGGGGAAGGGAGAUACACGUGAGAAUCUGAAGUCAUCAUCGCCAGGCCUAGUCUUGUCUUCAAAAAACGUGAGUUCUCUGACUAACUGGCAAUCCGAGGCAGGGGGUCAGGGGCUUUACCUGCUCUAAACUUCCGCCACUUAUGAGGACCAUCUCUGAAACGUCAGUGAACAGGAAGUUCUUCAGAAUGGUGGUCAAGUACCGGCUUCGGUUAAGCAGCUCCAGAGUCAUGACCUUUAUAGCAGUGGAUUACCUCUGAAACCUCAGCUGGACCACAUAUGAAGCCUAUGAAUUCUUCAGAAGAAGAUACUCAGUGAACUGUGAGGACUGACAGCAAGUCUUGUCAUUUGGAACACCCUCUUCUCAGAAAAAUUAGGCAUGCUUCAAAAUAGGAAGGGGAAAUGCCAGAAAAUUGCCAGGUAUGUAUCUUUAUAGUUCUUAUGACCAUGGGGACUAGUACUGUUGGUGUUCAACAUGGAGUCGUGGAGGACACAGUUAACUUGGCCAUCCUGUUCUGAAGUUUGAGUUGGAACUCUGAUUGCUCUUCUCUCUUUUCCUCUACUCUGGGAGUUUUGUCAUCUUAUCCAGAGAGUCAUGGGUCAUUUUGAUGACAGACUGACCUCAAGUCUCUGCUCAUGUCUCUGUUUUAUGGCUUAGGAUUCCGUCGUACAGAGGUAAUUGAGAAUGAAUUCCUGGAGAGCCCUAUUGCACACUGAGAAGACAUGGA